This 2360-nucleotide long non-coding RNA is filed under the name Homo sapiens (human). RNAcentral's name for it is "HSALNT0193609". Lineage: Eukaryota; Metazoa; Chordata; Mammalia; Primates; Hominidae. The record is from RNAcentral.
GCUUAAAAGAGGCACCACCUGCCCUCCCUGGCCCUCAGAAAUAGGCCUCAGACCAAGUAGGGAAGACAGACAGAGAAUGCCUGUGCACAUAUGCUGUCAAGAAGGGCUCGCGGAUGCCGAGGAAAGCCCAGAGGAGACAGCAGCUGCUUUUGUUUCCUUGGAGGCAGCGCCCAGUAGGGAGUGGGUCAGACAGGAGCCAGGAAGACAAUUACUAGAAAGGCAUUCCCUGGUGUUCUAAUGAGGCAAUUAGAGCCACUGAGUUUGAGACUGUAAGAGCAGGACGGGGCUCUGAAGACCCCCCUCGCCCAACCCCCUCAUUUUACAGAAGAGGCAACUGAGGCCCAGAGAGGGAGAUCCCAGAGUGACAAUGCCAAUUAGGGCUGGGACUGGGACCCAGGUCUCCAGCCACCACAGUGCCCUGCCUCUGCCAGAAUCAAAACCCACCCGCCAGAGGACAUGCACUUGAGAACACACCCUUUAGCACUUUCUGCUGUCAGUUACAUGGCUCAUUCUCCAUUGACAGACAGAAUAGAGGAAUUCACUGGAAAGGAGAACCACUUCACAGCAACGUUUUACAAGAAGCCUGAUGGUGGGAUGGAGCCCGUCAUUCAUAUUAAUGAGACAUGCAUGGAAGUGGCAAUGAGCAUGUGGAGUGUGGCUAAAAGAAAUGUGGUUCUUCACUUGGAGCUGAUGUGAAACACAGGCAAUCUGUUGGCCUACUGAGAGGAACUUCUUUUAAAAGCCAAGAACAAGAAUACCACCCAAAGACAUCUGUUCCUCUCAUCCUUUAGUGAAGUGCAGAUGGAGAUUCCUACAUGGUUUUGUUGUCAUCAAUACCUUCAAGUGUUUCCUUCAGAAAAUCCUUUGGUGGAGAGUUUAAUACAGUAGGGAGGAAGCUUUUAGGCUUUGAGAAAGCGAGUGGCCAUUUUGAAGAGGCCCACAUGGCAAAAUACUGGUGUGGCCUUCAGCCAACAGUAAGCUAGGAGCUGAGGCCCUCAGUCCCAUAGCCCUGAAGACAUGGAGUUCUGUCAAUAAACAAAUGAACUUGGAAGCAGAUCCUUCUCCUGUUGAGUCUUCAGAUGAGACCCAGCCCUUACUGACAGCCUGGAUGGCAGCUCUGUGAGAGAUCCUGAAGCAGAGGACCUAGCAAAGCCAGCAAAGUUUCUGACCCAAAGAAACUGUGAGAUGAUUUGUAUUGUCUCCAGCCACUACGUUGUAGUUAUUUGUUACACAGCAAUGGAUAACAAACACAGGAUGUUAAAGAAGUAUUUUUAUGAGACUUUCAAUAGCUAACAUUAGGAUGUAACUGUCAAAAGAAUUAACCUUGUAAUUCAAAUGUUCAUUGUGGGCUCUCACUCACCAUGGAAGCUCAUGCAAAAAUGCUGGAGAAAUUUAAAAUGUCUUAUGUGACAUCUGGUAGAAGUUUAAAAGUAUAGACAACCAUCAUUAAAAAAAAAACUCAUUGUAACUUUGUUUAAAACCUUGGCCCUAGCAUUCAAAGAUUAAAAUCUAAAAUAGGCUUGGAAUUUGGUCACUUCUUAAGGUCUAUGUCAGAUAUCUCUGUCAAAGCCCACAUAUUGUAAGAGUUGCUAAAGCUACAUACAACACUAUGGUGAGCAUUUCAUGCCUAAGUAUGAGAAUUGUAUUUGAUGCAUAUUAAUUGGUAAAAUCUAUUAGCUAGAUACUUAAUAAGAGAGAAGACUGAAGGAAUUGAGAAACCAGUGAACAGAGAUUGCUAAUUAAGAAAAAAAAAUCUGACUCUUUUAUAGGUUUACAUCUUGUAUUACUACCUAAUUGGCUCACUGUUUUGUUUUGUUUUUAUUUGGCAGUUGAAAGAGCCUGUAGACAUUUUAAAUCUCUUCAGAAUUUAUGAUUCAUUUGGUGAAACAGUAGCUGCUAGACUUGUGGAUGUUAAGAACCAGGAAAAAUGAAAAUUCAAAAACAAAAAUAGGUAGGUGAAUGAAUAGGUGAUUGAAUAUACUGCCACAGACAGUAAAGUUUAUUUUGUCAAGCUAGGACAUUAAACUAAAAAAAAAAAAUCACUGUAUGCUAUCAUCAUUAUUUUAUAGAGAAAGAACAAUUCAACCUCAACAGAAAAAUAAUAAUUUCAAAAUUAAAAAACAUAACUUUAAUUUCAAAAAAGCUUUUUUUUUUUUUUGAGAUGGAGUCUCGCUCUUUCACUCAGGCUGGACUGCAGUGGCGCUAUCUCGGCUCACUGCAAGCUCUGCCUCCCGGGUUCGCGCCAUUCUCCUGCCUCAGCCUCGUGAGUAGCUGGGACUACAGGCACCCACCACCAGGCCUGGCUAAUUUUUUGUAUUUUUAGUAGAGACGGGGUUUCACUGUGUUAGCCAGGAUGGUUU